This 377-nucleotide RNase P RNA is filed under the name Astrosyne radiata. Its description in RNAcentral is "partial Bacterial RNase P class A". It matches the Rfam family "Bacterial RNase P class A". From Rfam's summary of the family: Ribonuclease P (RNase P) is a ubiquitous endoribonuclease, found in archaea, bacteria and eukarya as well as chloroplasts and mitochondria. Its best characterised activity is the generation of mature 5'-ends of tRNAs by cleaving the 5'-leader elements of precursor-tRNAs. Lineage: Eukaryota; Bacillariophyta; Fragilariophyceae; Cyclophorales; Cyclophoraceae. The record is from RNAcentral.
GGGGAAUCUAGGGAGGAAAGUCCGGGCAACAUAGAGCACCCUACUUCCUAACAGGAAGGCACCUGGUCUGAAAACCAAGUGACAGCAAGUGCCACAGAAAAUAGACCGCUCUUUUAAGCAGAGUAAGGGUGAAAAGGUGGAGUAAGUGCCCACCGUUUGGUUGGUGACAGCCAAGGCAAGGUAAACCUUAGGGGUUGAAAGGCUAAAUAAAUACUGCAUCCUCAUGAUGGGAUCACAAGUGGCUCGCUUGUGUUUCAAGUGUUGAAAAGCAGUGUGGGUAGGCUGAUAGAGGCUGUGAGCGAUCAUAGUCCCAGAUAAAUGGUAAGCAUGCUGGCCAUUGCGUUGGCAUACAGAACCCGGCUUAUAGGCUUGCUUGU